Molecule: ribosomal RNA, 279 nt
Filed under: uncultured bacterium
Lineage: Bacteria
Description: partial 16S ribosomal RNA
Rfam family: Bacterial small subunit ribosomal RNA
Source: RNAcentral
UGCCAGCCGCCGCGGUAAUACGGAGGGGGUCAGCGUUGUUCGGAAGCGCUGGGCGUAAAGCGCACGUAGGCGGAUCAGAAAGUAUAGGGUGAAAUCCCAGGGCUCAACCCUGGAACUGCCUUAUAAACUCCUGGUCUUGAGUUCGAGAGAGGUGAGUGGAAUUCCGAGUGUAGAGGUGAAAUUCGUAGAUAUUCGGAGGAACACCAGUGGCGAAGGCGGACCACUGGCUCGAUACUGACGCUGAGGUGCGAAAGUGUUGGGAGCAAACAGGAUUAGAUA